GGUUCAUUCAAAUUUCUGCCCUAUCAACUUUCGAUGGUAAGGUAUUGGCUUACCAUGGUUUCAACGGGUAACGGGGAAUUAGGGUUCGAUUCCGGAGAGGGAGCCUGAGAAACGGCUACCACAUCCAAGGAAGGCAGCAGGCGCGCAAAUUACUCAAUCCCGACCGGGGAGGUAGUGACAAUAAAUACUGAUACAGGGCUCUUUUGGGUCUUGUAAUUGGAAUGAGUACAAUUUAAACCUCUUAACGAGGAACAAUUGGAGGGCAAGUCUGGUGCCAGCAGCCGCGGUAAUUCCAGCUCCAAUAGCGUAUAUUAAAGUUGUUGCAGUUAAAAAGCUCGUAGUUG
RNAcentral lists this ribosomal RNA (344 nucleotides) under uncultured fungus. RNAcentral's name for it is "SSU rRNA". It matches the Rfam family "Eukaryotic small subunit ribosomal RNA", at positions 292 to 636 of the family's 1831-position model. The record is from RNAcentral. Lineage: Eukaryota; Fungi.